AACGAACGCUGGCGGCAGGCUUAACACAUGCAAGUCGAGCGGGCACUUCGGUGUCAGCGGCAGACGGGUGAGUAACGCGUGGGGAUCUGCCUAGUGGUACGGAACAACACAGGGAAACUUGUGCUAAUACCGUAUAAGUCCUUCGGGGGAAAGAUUUAUCGCCAUUAGAUGAACCCGCGUCUGAUUAGCUAGUUGGUGAGGUAAUGGCUCACCAAGGCGACGAUCAGUAGCUGGUCUGAGAGGAUGAUCAGCCACACUGGGACUGAGACGCGGCCCAGACUCCUACGGGAGGCAGCAGUGGGGAAUAUUGGACAAUGGGCGCAAGCCUGAUCCAGCCAUGCCGCGUGAGUGAUGAAGGCCUUAGGGUUGUAAAGCUCUUUCGUUGGGGAAGAUAAUGA
This 398-nucleotide ribosomal RNA is filed under the name uncultured bacterium. RNAcentral describes it as "bacterial SSU rRNA". It matches the Rfam family "Bacterial small subunit ribosomal RNA", at positions 29 to 454 of the family's 1533-position model. The record is from RNAcentral.